This 74-nucleotide transfer RNA is filed under the name Bacteriophage sp. Its description in RNAcentral is "tRNA-Gly". It matches the Rfam family "tRNA". Rfam says of the family: Transfer RNA (tRNA) molecules are approximately 80 nucleotides in length. The record is from RNAcentral.
GCAAGUGUAGCAUAACGGUUAGUGCGUUGGCCUUCCAAGCCGAGGAUGACGGUUCGAUUCCGUUCACUUGCUCA